This 665-nucleotide ribosomal RNA is filed under the name Micromonospora sp. PC4045. RNAcentral describes it as "bacterial SSU rRNA". It matches the Rfam family "Bacterial small subunit ribosomal RNA", at positions 88 to 768 of the family's 1533-position model. The record is from RNAcentral. Lineage: Bacteria; Bacillati; Actinomycetota; Actinomycetes; Micromonosporales; Micromonosporaceae.
UACUCGAGCGGCGAACGGGUGAGUAACACGUGAGCAACCUGCCCUAGGCUUUGGGAUAACCCCGGGAAACCGGGGCUAAUACCGAAUAGGACCACCGUCCGCAUGGACGGUGGUGGAAAGUUUUUCGGCCUGGGAUGGGCUCGCGGCCUAUCAGCUUGUUGGUGGGGUGAUGGCCUACCAAGGCGACGACGGGUAGCCGGCCUGAGAGGGCGACCGGCCACACUGGGACUGAGACACGGCCCAGACUCCUACGGGAGGCAGCAGUGGGGAAUAUUGCACAAUGGGCGGAAGCCUGAUGCAGCGACGCCGCGUGAGGGAUGACGGCCUUCGGGUUGUAAACCUCUUUCAGCAGGGACGAAGCGUAAGUGACGGUACCUGCAGAAGAAGCGCCGGCCAACUACGUGCCAGCAGCCGCGGUAAGACGUAGGGCGCGAGCGUUGUCCGGAUUUAUUGGGCGUAAAGAGCUCGUAGGCGGCUUGUCGCGUCGACUGUGAAAACCCGCAGCUCAACUGCGGGCCUGCAGUCGAUACGGGCAGGCUAGAGUUCGGUAGGGGAGACUGGAAUUCCUGGUGUAGCGGUGAAAUGCGCAGAUAUCAGGAGGAACACCGGUGGCGAAGGCGGGUCUCUGGGCCGAUACUGACGCUGAGGAGCGAAAGCGUGGGGAG